GACGAACGCUGGCGGCGUGCUUAACACAUGCAAGUCGAACGGAAAGGCCCCCUUGUGGGGUACUCGAGUGGCGAACGGGUGAGUAACACGUGAGUAACCUACCCUUGACGUUGGGAUAAGUGUAGGAAACUGGGGCUAAUACCGGAUAGGAGCUACUGCUGAAUGGUGGGGGUUGGAAAGUUUCGGCGGUUGGGGAUGGACUCGCGGCUUAUCAGCUUGUUGGUGGGGUAGUGGCUCACCAAGGCUUUGACGGGUAGCCGGCCUGAGAUGGUGACCGGCCACAUUGGGACUGAGAUACGUCCCAGACUCCUACGGGAGGCAGCAGUGGGGAAUAUUGCACAAUGGGCGGAAGCCUGAUGCAGCAACGCCGCGUGCGGGAUGACGGCCUUCGGGUUGUAAACCGCUUUCGCCUGUGACGAAGCGUGAGUGACGGUAAUGGGUAAAUAAGCACCGGCUAACUACGUG
Molecule: ribosomal RNA, 465 nt
Filed under: uncultured bacterium
Lineage: Bacteria
Description: partial 16S ribosomal RNA
Rfam family: Bacterial small subunit ribosomal RNA
Source: RNAcentral